RNAcentral lists this unclassified non-coding RNA (1286 nucleotides) under uncultured fungus. Its description in RNAcentral is "sequence contains 18S rRNA gene, ITS1, 5.8S rRNA gene, ITS2, 28S rRNA gene". The stretch from base 1103 to 1286 matches the Rfam family "Eukaryotic large subunit ribosomal RNA", at positions 1 to 183 of the family's 3401-position model. Lineage: Eukaryota; Fungi. The record is from RNAcentral.
UGCUGGAUCAUUACCCACUGAUCCCAUUCACCACCUACCUGUCGUCCCUAGUGCCGAUGACGGACUUGCCACUCCCUAAUGCCGCUUGAGAGUGCUGGAGUGAAGUGUCUGGGCCAACCACAGCAGUGCCUUGCCAUUUGGUGCUGUAGGUGAGCCUUAAUCGGAGGCAUGACGGGAUGACAAACCGCCCCAGGGGCAACGCUAUGGGGUGCUAUCCGCCGGUGUCAGUGGCGACACACAUCCUUCCACGCAUAUUACAAUAUGCACAGUGCCGCAUGUGUAGGCCGGAAGCGAUGGAACCAGGCAACCCGACCGAGAGCAUAGGUCGGGAAGCCGCGCUGAACAUCACUGGAUAGCACGCCCUUGGGGCACCCAACGGCUGUGCUUGGCGUCUGUGCGUGGUUGAGCAGUUGUUGUGCACAGUUUUUUUUGCUGGAGAGUUGAGUGAGCUGGCUUGGAAACUGCUGAUUGUGAUAGCAUCCUUGCCUUACAGACCGUAACUCGUGGCUUGCUCUCUCUCCGGUGCGACCUGUGUGCUACGUCCGUGGCUGCGAUGAGACCACGCGGUAGGGCCCGUGCGAACGCUAUAGCACGUGGCUUAAGACUUGAUGAGCUCACCGCUAAGAGCCGCCAGCAACCUUUUUCAAUUACAAUUUUUUGAAGCACAUGUAUGUGCGUGAACAAACAAUUCUAGUCUUAUCGGUGGAUCACUCGGCUCGUAGGUCGAUGAAGAACGCAGCCAACUGCGAUAAGUAGUGUGAACUGCAGAAACCUUGAACACAGAACAUUCGAAUGCACAUUGCGCCAUUGGAGUGACAUCCUUUGGCACGCCUGGUUCAGGGUCGUAAUCAAAAAGCGCACAGCAAUUGCGUGUACAAGUUGUGAGAUCAGUGAGCGACACACAUGCCACUGUUCUCGCAUAGUGUAAAAGGCGCCAAAGACUGAGGGGGAGUGCCGGCAUGGAACGAGACUUUGAUAUUUUCCAUGUCUUGCAGACCGCAACUCGGGCACAAACCUGACUCUCUUAAGGUAGCCAAAUGCCUCGUCGACCAAUUGGUGAAUUGUUGUCGUCGUUGGCUAAUUAUGACCAAACACACAUUUUCGACCUGAACUCAGACGUGAACACCCGCUGAACUUAAGCAUAUCAGUAAGCGGAGGAAAAGAAACUAACGAGGAUUCCCGUAGUAACGGCGAGUGGACUGGGACGAGUCCAGCGCUGAAUCGCGGCGCCUCUGGUGCCGCGAGGUGUAGCGUACAGACUGUGAGCAUGGGUUGGCCUGCCCGUU